This 29-nucleotide non-coding RNA is filed under the name Homo sapiens (human). The record is from RNAcentral. Lineage: Eukaryota; Metazoa; Chordata; Mammalia; Primates; Hominidae.
UACUAAACAAGGGAAGUGAUCGUUGUGUA